CCCGUCACUUGGUAUCUGGGCUAGAGUAACUCCCAAAGAAUAAAACUCUCAACUCUGAUGGUUUUAAAAGAAAAAGAGAAAGAAAUUGAUGCGGUUUUAGUUUUGUCCUGAUGCAAUAGGGAAACUCCGCCCACUUAAAGGGAGUGGAAUAAACCUCUUAUCAUUUGAAGCAGCUACAGAGUUCUUCUGGUUCUUGCAGGCACACUGCAGACACCAGCAUUCUGGCCGACUCCCUUUCGCCAAGGCAGCUGAGUCAUGGUGGUGAUCAACAUGGAACCCCUCCAGGCUGAGAUGCCAGGAGUGGCCACAAAGGGAUGAUGGCAUUUACCUGAGAAACUGGGUGUGUCAAAUCCUAUACCAUGUUUGUGUUAAAUGUUCAGAGAAAUGGACCACUGCAACCUAUGUCAAACAAAAACUGAGAUUAUAGCAGUUUUCAACGUUUGCAAAGCAGAAAACCUGUAUCCAUGGAUACAAACUCUUUAAGAUCACUAAAAUCAUUUCACAAAGAAAUCUUGAAGAGGUAAAUAAUAAUUCUGUCUUAUUUACAGAGAAUCCAGGGUAGGAAGGUGUAUGAUUCUUCAUGAAGAUGCACCUGGUCUCAAACCUUGUCAUCUUGGUCUGUAAAUUCCUAUCAUUGACAUUUGUGUUUUCCUUUUACAAGGCAUCUCCACACCUUCCCAUUUUCAGUUAAUUCUUAGAGGGGUCCUCAGAAUCCAUUUCUGUAAUGGGCUGAGAGGCUGUGCAUUGUACUAAUUGGGAACCAAGAUUCUGGGGUCAGACUAUUUGAUUGGAAUCUCCUCUCUACUUUGUAGCUGUGUGACCUGAGCAAGUUGUUUUACCCUCUCUGAGCUUCAGUUACCCCAUAGAGGGCUAUAGGAUUAUACGAGAUGAUACAUGUAAGGAAUCUAGCACAGUACCUAGCCCAAAGGCCUAGUAAAUACUAGACACAAUUUGUAUUUAUUACCAACUAAACACCUAAAGGAAUUUUAAUUGCAUUUGCUUCACCAGUUUUUCUUUUCAUGCUCAAUCUAGUCAGGAUAGUUUUUGGUUUGGA
Long non-coding RNA from Bos taurus (domestic cattle), 1054 nucleotides. The record is from Ensembl. NCBI's taxonomy places the organism in Eukaryota, Metazoa, Chordata, Mammalia, Artiodactyla, Bovidae.